GUGGGCAUGACUUUAGACAUGUUUUUACAUCUACUUUUCUGUAUUUUCCAAAUGCUGUCAAAAUCAGAACCUUAAACCACAUUGGGCCAUUGACACUUGAAAGGUGUCAGUCUGAACUGGGAUGUGAUUUAAAUUUAAAAAGCAGAUGAGAUUUUAAAGACUUCAUACAAGCUAUAAAUGUAAAAUAUCUUAUUAGUAUUUUUAUACUGAAUACCUGUUAAAACAAUAUUUUAGAUGUAUCAGAUUAAAUAUAUUUUAAAAAUUUCACUUUUUUUUUACUGUUUUCAAUGUGGCUGCUAAUGUUGUGUAAAAGGUUAGGUAUGGUCAGCAAGAAAAUUCAAGUAAUUUAAAUCAAAUUAAAUUUAUAAUCCUUCUCCUUAAAAAUUAGCUUCAUUAUUUUAUAAGGAAAAUACAUAGAAAAAUCUUGUUAGGGUUUACAAAGAUGCAGGCUCCUAUCUUUUUGGUUUUAUCAAAUCCUAAAACCUGUUAAAAGAAAAUAUUUUGACCAGGUGCGGUGGCUCAUGCCUGUAAUCCCAGCAGCUGGGGGGGCUGAAGCGGGUGGAUCACGAGGUCAGGAGAUCUAAACCAUCCUGGCUAACACGGUGAAAACCCAUCUCCACUAAAAAUACAAAAAAUUAGCUGGGCGUAGUUGCACACGCCUGUAGUCCCAGCUACUCAGGAAGCUGAGGCAGGAGAAUGCCAUGAACCCGGGAGGUGGAACUUGGACUUUAGGAAAAGGCAGCUAGUUCUCUCAGAGGAGCUUUGAUUUUUCUUUGCUUUCAUUGGGGAAUCCACAGGGCCCCUCAGCAGCACUACUGGACACCCUUUCCAGGCUUGCCAUCGCCAUUGACGGCCUCUAAGACACUGUCUCAACCUCAUCUGCACCAGUGGGAGGCGAGUCCAAGGUGUGAGAACACGGCUCCACAUUGGACUUGCCUUUGCCGUCGUUGUUGCCUUUCCUAGAGAGUCCCUGCGAGUCCCAUGAUGAAGGGAGGCAGUGAGGGCAAGAGCCGGCUGUCGUUCGCGGACAUCCGCCUAUGCGGUCUCAGUUGAAAUUGUGGGACCCAUCCACUCCUCACUAGAUUGUAUCCUCAACCCUAUCUGACCUUAUUGCUGCUCACACUCUGUGUCCCAGGAUGAAAUCUCAAGAUGAUGGAGGAGUGCCCCCUUUGACCUGAAGCACCUGCUCAGCUAGGAACCAAAUUCAAGGGGGAGGUGACUUGGACGCUGGCAAGUCUCGACCCGCCCCCCAAUAUACUGGGGAUUCAUGAUCCACAGAAAAAUAGAGAACACAGCCCUGCGACUAAAGCAAAGCCACACAGACAAGCCAUCAAAAUGUUGAGAGACUCAAAUAAAGAAGCACUGAAAUGUGUUAGCCACAUUCUUUUAAGCAGACUCCAUUUGCAGGAACACACACACACAAAGACACAAUACCACACAAACACAUGCAGAAAUCUGACACUCAUAACACUCCCACAGAAACACACAGCCCGGCAGCUUCUGAGGCUGUGUGUUUCUGUAGGAAGCCCCACCUUGGAGAGAGCAACCCCAGGGAACAGAGGCAGGCUCUAACUAAAAAUAUCAUGGGGGCAAGUUUCAUAAAGACUCACUCCUAGAACUCCUGGGCAGGCCUAAGGAAUCCUGCAGAUGAUUUUGGAUCCACAGGGAUUUUGUAGUUUAUUCCUGGGGCUCUGCUUGACAUUUCUUCAGGCUCACUCACAUCUUUCUCUCCUAGGAUCAUGGGAUUAUUCCAUGUAUCCCACAGAGAAGACAGGUGAGAGUCCACCAGCGCACCUCCACAGAGGUCUCUUUCUCCACAAGCUGCAGGGACUUGUCUCUUGCCAACAGUGACAUUCCUUGUGACACUUGCCAGAACUCAAAAUCAGGCAUGGUGCCCUGAGUCUAGCUCAUGCACAUUCGUGAGGCAGGCUCUGGCAUCCGGCUGUCAGAGCUGUCAGCCUGACUAAGCAGAGGAAAAUGCUGCAAGCAGAGCCGGCCUUGUAUCAGGAAAAAGGAUGCCUAUGAAAACCCACUGCGAGACCCUAAAAGUCUCAAACUCAGGGCCUCUUUGGGCCAUCUCCAUGGUCAGGUCCCACUGGAGGAGGAGGUGUUUCAAGACUGUGAGGUGGUCGCUGGAAACUGCUCUUCUGACUCUAUUCCUGAAAGAGGCUGUGUGCAAGAAUCAGGUCCCAUGGAGAUUGGAAUAGAGUCUCUUGUGUUGUUGGGGUUCUUUGGGUGAUAGAAUUAUACUUGAAACCCCAGAGGUGGGCAUCACUAAAAGAUGCCCGAGCUUGACCUCAUGGCAUCCCUUCAUCCUGGGUCUCACAGGGGCUGUCUGGAAAAGUCAGGAACCAUCACAGAGGAAAGUCCAAGGUGAAGCAGUUGUCUCACACCACAGACUGGUCUCUCCUUGGUGCAGAUGAGGUUGACACAGUGACUCAGAGGCUGUCUGUGGUGAUAGUAAGCCUGAAAAUUGUGUUCAGCAGUGCUGUAGUGCUGUUAAGGGUCAUUGUAGAUUUUUCAUGAAAGCAAGGAAAAAACAAGGCUUGCCUGAGGAAAUGAGCUGCCUUGUGCUGGAGUCCAAACUUGGACUGAACUCUUAUGGGUAAAGAUAAGGUAGAGACCAUGUCUCAGAGGUCAUCUUUGAUGAUGCCAAGCCUGAAAAUGAUAUCCAGUAGAGCUGUUGAAGGACACUGUAGAUUGUCCAUAAAAGCAAAGAAAAAUCAAGGUUCACCUGAUAGAAUGAGCUGCAUUGACCUGGAGUUUAAGCAAUGUUCAAUGCUUCCUGUUAGAGGUCCCAAAAGCCUCCUGCAAAUUGCAAACAACCUCAGCCCCCAUAACGAGACAACGACUCAAAACUUGGAGCACCGCCAGACUCCUCAAAGUCCCUUUUGCUCUUUGAAAUCUCUGGAAGCAAAAUAAUCUUUGGCAAGAGGCAGUCCCAUCCAGCCACAGCCCAAUGAAAGAACCCCCACUCAACGAGAAGACCAUGUAGAUGAAAAAAAUCAGAGACUAGAUUGCCAGGCAAAAGCCAGACAGGGCUGCCUGCUUCUCAUCCUACAGGAAUCAUGCGGAAUGCCAAGAGAAGUGAAAAAAAAAAGAGUUUCCUUGUUGGCAGCUGUAAGGGAAUUUACAGUUUUAAAGGUAUCAAAGCUGCCCAGUCAUUAAAUUGUGACAGUGUUUAGAAGGAAACACUCAGGCAAUGGAUUCCCAUUAGGGUCAUUCUCUGUGAACUGAGAAACGUUUACUGUGUCAUUGAGCCAGACACAGGAAAACCUGCACCAACAAGAAACAUGGACAUCAGAGAAAGAAGAGUCAAGUGUGGAGGCCAUAUCCCACCAAGCAUCAAUCCAUUUCAUUCCCAUUUGGCUCCCGGUGAAGUUGUGGGAUCUCAUCCAAUUCCCACCAGAUUGUAUCCUCACCCCUGUCUGACCUUAUUGCUGCUCACACUCUAUGUCCCAAAAUGAAAACCCAAGUUGAUGGAGUAUUGCCCCCUCAUGAUGUGAAGAAACUGCUUGGCUGGGACCUGAAUUUGAGGUGAAGUUGCUGGACCCCAUUUUCCAUUCAGCAGAUUGUAUCCUCACCACAGCUGACCUUAUUGCUGCUCAGACUCUAUGUUCCAGGAUAAAAUCACAAGAAGAUGUAGUAGUGCCCCCUCAUGAUGUGAAGCAUGUUCACAGCUGGGAACCAAAUUCGAGGUUAAUCUAAGUGGCCUUGCAGACAGAUCUGCUAGUGUCUCUCCCUGCGUUGUCCUCAAGAUGAUGGAAACACUGAGAGAUACCUGGUUUUUGGUGUGGUGUGCUACUCUUCUGGAAGAGUGGUUUUUAGUGCAGGGGGAGGUGAUUUGGACGCUGGCGGGUCUUGGCCCACCUCCAAAUUCACUGCGGAUUCAUGAUCCACAGAAAAAUAACACGGAGCCAUGCAGCCCAAGCAUAGCCACACAGACAGGCCACCAAAAUGUAGUGAGGCUAAAAACAAGAAGCACUGAAGUGUGUUAGCCCCAUUCCUUUAAGCAGACUCCACUUACAGGCACACACACACACACACAAUGCCACACACACUCGAUGUCAAACACUCACAACAUGCCCACAGAAACACACAGCAUGGCAGAUCCUGAGGUUGCAUAGUUCUGCAGGAGGCCCCACCUGGGAGACAGCAACCCCAGGGAACACAGGCAGGCUGUACCUAGAAAUCACAUUGGGGCAAGUUUCAAAGCCCAUACAACUUAUAGGCUGGCCUGAGGAAUUCUGCAGAUCCUUUGGGAUCCUUAGGGAUUUUGCAGUUUAUUUCUGGGGCUGUGGUUGAUGUUUCUUCAGGCUGACUCCCACAAGCUCUCUGACCUUGGUUGAUGUUUCUUCAGGCUGGCUCACAUCUGCCCUCUCAUAGUAUCAUGGGACUAUCCUGUGGAAUCCACAGAAAAGACAGGGGAGAGUCCACUGUCAAUGCACCUCCAAGCAGAUCUCCUUUUCUGCCAAGCCACAGGGACUUUUUGCUAGGCAACAGUGACAUUCAUUGUGAGGCUAGCCAGAAUUCACCAUCAGGCCUGGUGCCCUGAGAAUAGUACAUGCACAUUCUUCAGGCAGGUUCAAGAACCCAGCUGUCAGAGCUGCCAGCCUGCCUAGGCAGAAGAAAAUGCACAGGCAAAGCUGGCCUCACAUCGGGAAAAUGGCUACCUGUGAAAACCCACUGUGACACCCUAAACGUCUUGACCUUAGGGUCCCAUGGGCAGUCUCCACGGUCUCCUCCCGCUGGAGGAGUAGGCAUUUCAAGACUGUUAGGUGGUCGCUGGAAACUGCUCUUCUGACUCCAUUCCUGAAAGAGAAUGUGUGUGUACAAUACCCCAAUCCCAUGGGGAUUGGGAUAUAGUCUGUUGUGUUGUUCAGUGUUCUUUGGGUGAUAGAAGACCCCAGAGGCAGGUGUCAGCAAAAGCUGGCCAGACCCUUAAUCUCACUGCCUCCCUUCAUCCUGGGCCUCACAGGUGCUCUCCCAGAUAAUCAAGAACCAAAAGAAAGGCAAGUCGAUGUUGGAGACAUGUUCUCACACUUUGAACUGGCCUGUCAUGGGUGCAGAUGAGGUUAAGACAGUGUCUCAGAGGCGGUCUGUGGAGAUUGCUACCCUUAGGGUAUCCAGUAGUGUUGAUGUAAGAGCACUGUGGAUUCCUAAUGACAGGAGAAAAAAAUCACUUGAGAGAAUUGUUGGGAAACCAGCCCCACAAUGCCCCGUGGGUACCCUAAAUCCAACAGAGACAAAUAAUUAGAAAGAGACAGAAUGAGAGUUUAAAAGGCAGGUCCAGGGGACCAGAGAAUUGGAGGCUUGCUCAUGGCCUGGAGCUCUCAGCCACCACCCAAUUUAUUGCUUUACAAGCUCUUUGUUCUUAGGGCAGAUCUGAGGGGUAGGAAGGGCUGAGGGAAAGGAUUAAUCAGUGAGGGAGAACCCGUGAGUCAUUCAAUAAGAUGUAUAGCAGUAGCAGUUUCUGUGAAUUUCCUCUAGCAAAGGCGUGUGUCUAAACUACUUAAUAUAUUUAACUUAUCAGGACUGAAAUGGAUGGGAGAAGGCUUCAGGAGAAGCCAAGAUGUUUGAUUAUACUCCACUGCUUCAAGAGAGUGUUAUUUCCCUGAGCAACCUGUGGCAGCCCGCUGAGCUGUUAUGCUCUCUGGGCAUAAGGACAUGAAGGCAAUAAGGAGACUUUUCUCCUCAGAGGCCACCCAUGGGAGUGACUCCCCAUGGGAGUCUCACACCGGAGAGAUCAACUCAUUUGGCAUCCCAGAAACUCUCUUUCCCACAUGUCCCACUUUUUUGUCUCCAUUUUUUUAAAUUAAUAACCACCAUUGCUAUCAUAGCUCAUUCACGGUGUCUAUCUACUCUCCCAAGAUGCUGUCUGCAUCAGUAGGUUAAAAAAAAAACAGCAUAAAAAGACACACACCAAAGUAAUAUUUGCAAUUGAUGAUCCACCUAUGGUUUUAAUUCACUUUAAAGGAUUAGUGUUAAAAAGGCCCUCAGUGGUUCCAGCAAGAAUAUCAGCUCUAGGCAACAGGAUGGGAUGAGCCUGAGAUGCGGCAAAAAGUUGUUUUUUCAGUUUAGCAGGAUCUAAUGUUAAAUUAUCUUCUUCUCCUGGUAGGUGAUGUCUAAUCAUCUCCCAGUGGUGUUCAGUGAUAUUAUAAGAGCUAGGAGGAAUACGAAAUCAGAAGUAUUCCAAUCACAUUGCAUUUGAAUUCUAUGCUCCAAGUUCAUAAUCCGAUCUCCCAUUCAGAUUACUGUCUGAUGAUCAUUAAUUUGAUUUGCCAAUUUUUGAUCUAUUUGGCUUUGGGAAUUCCAAAGCUUGGAAGAAUUUUUCUGACAACUAUGCACAGCGCUCGCAGGUUGAAUAGAAGAGUGCAAAGCAAAGCCAGCAGCAGCAGCUAUAGCUGUGACAGAUUUAAGACCCAUGAUG
RNAcentral lists this long non-coding RNA (6430 nucleotides) under Homo sapiens (human). Its description in RNAcentral is "HSALNT0288677". Lineage: Eukaryota; Metazoa; Chordata; Mammalia; Primates; Hominidae. The record is from RNAcentral.